AGCCCUGCGCCCCUGAGGUUUUCUCUGCUGGGCCCAGGCGGCUGGGGAGUUGGGGAAGGGCUGCAGCGAAAAGGGUGACAGCCCUUUAGGGAGCAGUGGCCUCCAUCUUUCUGUGCUACACUGGCCCCACCCCAGCCCUCCUAGGUGAAGCCCACAGCCGUGGCAACACAAAAGGGUGAUUUGCGGUGACUAUUUCUCUGAAUUACACGGGACCAAGGAAACGUGACCAGGCUCAAGAUUUCUGGACACAGAGACACUGAGGACAGAGCUGGUUCCAUCAGAGCCCAGCCCCUGUCCCAGAUCCUGGAAUCUUAGUUGAGGCCCGAACUUGAAUUCUUCACUUGUCAGGAUGAGGGUUUGGACACAGACUCAUCCCUCCUCUGCCAAUUCUCCUUUCAAACUGAGGCAUAAGAUUUUUUUUUUUUAAUUAAAAAGACCCCAAAACCUGA
This 449-nucleotide long non-coding RNA is filed under the name Sus scrofa (pig). Its description in RNAcentral is "lncRNA (ENSSSCG00030058239.1)". Lineage: Eukaryota; Metazoa; Chordata; Mammalia; Artiodactyla; Suidae. The record is from RNAcentral.